RNAcentral lists this ribosomal RNA (234 nucleotides) under uncultured bacterium. RNAcentral's name for it is "partial 16S ribosomal RNA". It matches the Rfam family "Bacterial small subunit ribosomal RNA", at positions 104 to 334 of the family's 1533-position model. The record is from RNAcentral.
CGGGGUGAGUAACGCGUGAGGAACCUGCCUCAAAGAGGGGGACAACAGUUGGAAACGACUGCUAAUACCGCAUAAGCCCACGGCUCGGCAUCGAGCAGAGGGAAAAGGAGCAAUCCGCUUUGAGAUGGCCUCGCGUCCGAUUAGCUAGUUGGUGAGGUAACGGCCCACCAAGGCGACGAUCGGUAGCCGGACUGAGAGGUUGAACGGCCACAUUGGGACUGAGACACGGCCCAG